GCUGGGUGUGGCGCUGCACACCUGCAAUUCCUGAGACGCUGGAGGCUGAGGCAGGAGGAUCACGAGUUCAAAGCCAGCCUCGGCAACUUAGUGAGGCCCUAAGCAACUCAGUGAGACUCUGUUUCUA
This 127-nucleotide small RNA is filed under the name Marmota monax (woodchuck). Lineage: Eukaryota; Metazoa; Chordata; Mammalia; Rodentia; Sciuridae. The record is from RNAcentral.